GACGAACGCUGGCGGCGUGCUUAACACAUGCAAGUCGAACGGAAAGGCCCUGCUUUUGUGGGGUGCUCGAGUGGCGAACGGGUGAGUAACACGUGAGUAACCUGCCCUUGACUUUGGGAUAACUUCAGGAAACUGGGGCUAAUACCGGAUAGGAGCUCCUGCUGCAUGGUGGGGGUUGGAAAGUUUCGGCGGUUGGGGUGGAAUCGCGGCUUUUCAGCUUGUUUGUGGGGUAGUGGCUUACCAAGGCUUUGACGGGUAGCCGGCCUGAGAGGGUGACCGGCCACAUUGGGACUGAGAUACGGCCCAGACUCCUACGGGAGGCAGCAGUGGGGAAUAUUGCACAAUGGGCGGAAGCCUGAUGCAGCAACGCCGCGUGCGGGAUGACGGCCUUCGGGUUGUAAACCGCUUUCGCCUGUGACGAAGCGUGAGUGACGGUAAUGGGUAAAGAAGCACCGGCUAACUACGUG
RNAcentral lists this ribosomal RNA (467 nucleotides) under uncultured bacterium. Its description in RNAcentral is "partial 16S ribosomal RNA". It matches the Rfam family "Bacterial small subunit ribosomal RNA", at positions 28 to 507 of the family's 1533-position model. The record is from RNAcentral.